Molecule: ribosomal RNA, 871 nt
Filed under: uncultured bacterium
Lineage: Bacteria
Description: bacterial SSU rRNA
Rfam family: Bacterial small subunit ribosomal RNA
Source: RNAcentral
CUUCGGGGUACACGAGUGGCGAACGGGUGAGUAACGCGUGAGUAACCUGCCCUUGACUCUGGGAUAACAGAUGGAAACGUCUGCUAAUACCGGAUACUCAGCCUUGUGGGCAUCCACAGGGUUGGAAAGCUCCGGCGGUCAAGGAUGGACUCGCGUCCUAUCAGCUAGUUGGUGGGGUAAUGGCCUACCAAGGCGACGACGGGUAGCCGGCCUGAGAGGGCGACCGGCCACAUUGGGACUGAGAUACGGCCCAGACUCCUACGGGAGGCAGCAGUGGGGAAUAUUGCACAAUGGGCGCAAGCCUGAUGCAGCAACGCCGCGUGCGGGAUGACGGCCUUCGGGUUGUAAACCGCUUUCAGCAGGGACGAAGCGCAAGUGACGGUACCUGCAGAAGAAGCACCGGCUAACUACGUGCCAGCAGCCGCGGUGAUACGUAGGGUGCGAGCGUUGUCCGGAUUUAUUGGGCGUAAAGAGCUUGUAGGCGGUUAGUCGCGUCGUAAGUGCAAACCCAGGGCUUAACCCUGAGCCUGCUUUCGAUACGGGCUGACUAGAGGAAGGUAGGGGAGAAUGGAAUUCCCGGUGGAGCGGUGGAAUGCGCAGAUAUCGGGAGGAACACCAGUGGCGAAGGCGGUUCUCUGGACCUUUCCUGACGCUGAGAAGCGAAAGCGUGGGGAGCAAACAGGCUUAGAUACCCUGGUAGUCCACGCCGUAAACGGUGGGUACUAGGUGGUGGGGGACAUUCCACGUUCUCUGUGCCGUAGCUAACGCAUUAAGUAUUCCGCCUGGGGGAGUACGGUCGCAAGAUUAAAACUCAAAGGGAAUUGACGGGGACCCGCACAAGCGGUGGGAGCAUGUGGCUUAAAUUCGAUGC